Molecule: transfer RNA, 92 nt
Filed under: Bacteroidetes bacterium RBG_13_44_24
Lineage: Bacteria; Pseudomonadati; Bacteroidota
Description: tRNA-Ser
Rfam family: tRNA
About the family: Transfer RNA (tRNA) molecules are approximately 80 nucleotides in length. Their secondary structure includes four short double-helical elements and three loops (D, anti-codon, and T loops). Further hydrogen bonds mediate the characteristic L-shaped molecular structure. tRNAs have two regions of fundamental functional importance: the anti-codon, which is responsible for specific mRNA codon recognition, and the 3' end, to which the tRNAs corresponding amino acid is attached (by aminoacyl-tRNA synthetases). tRNAs cope with the degeneracy of the genetic code in two manners: having more than one tRNA (with a specific anti-codon) for a particular amino acid; and 'wobble' base-pairing, i.e. permitting non-standard base-pairing at the 3rd anti-codon position.
Source: RNAcentral
GGAGAGAUGGCAGAGUGGUCGAAUGCGGCGGUCUCGAAAACCGUUGUCCCGCAAUCGCGGGACCGGGGGUUCGAACCCCCCUCUCUCCGCAA